AGCAGUCGCCGCGGUAAAACGUAGGUCCCGAGCGUUGUCCGGAUUUAUUGGGCGUAAAGCGAGCGCAGGCGGUUAGAUAAGUCUGAAGUUAAAGGUUGUGGCUUAACCAUAGUACGCUUUGGAAACUGUUUAACUUGAGUGCAAGAGGGGAGAGUGGAAUUCCAUGUGUAGCGGUGAAAUGCGUAGAUAUAUGGAGGAACACCGGUGGCGAAAGCGGCUCUCUGGCUUGUAACUGACGCUGAGGCUCGAAAGCGUGGGGAGCAAACAGGAUUAGAUACCCGCGUAGUCCCUGUCUCUUAUACA
RNAcentral lists this ribosomal RNA (303 nucleotides) under uncultured bacterium. RNAcentral's name for it is "partial 16S ribosomal RNA". It matches the Rfam family "Bacterial small subunit ribosomal RNA", at positions 507 to 808 of the family's 1533-position model. The record is from RNAcentral.